RNAcentral lists this ribosomal RNA (624 nucleotides) under uncultured marine eukaryote. RNAcentral's name for it is "SSU rRNA". It matches the Rfam family "Eukaryotic small subunit ribosomal RNA", at positions 619 to 1262 of the family's 1831-position model. The record is from RNAcentral.
UUAAAAAGCUCGUAGUCGGAUUUUGGCUGAGAACGGUCGGUCCGCCGUUAGGUGUGCACUGACUGGUCUCAGCUUCCUGGUGAGGAGGUGUGCUUCAUCGCCACUUAGUCACCGUGGUUACUUUGAAAAAAUUAGAGUGUUCAAAGCGGGCUUACGCUUGAAUAUAUUAGCAUGGAAUAACACCAUAGGACUCCUGUCCUAUUUCGUUGGUCUCGGGACGGGAGUAAUGAUUAAGAGGAACAGUUGGGGGCAUUCGUAUCUCAUUGUCAGAGGUGAAUUUCUUGGAUUUAUGAAAGACGAACUUCUGCGAAAGCAUUUGCCAAGGAUGUUUUCAUUGAUCAAGAACGAAAGUUGGGGGCUCGGAGAUGAUUAGAUACCAUCCUAGUCUCAACCAUAAACGAUGCCGACUAGGGAUUGGCGGAUGUUAAUUGAUGACUUCGCCAGCACCUUAUGAGAAAUCAAAGUUUUUGGGUUCCGGGGGGAGUAUGGUCGCAAGGCUGAAACUUAAAGGAAUUGACGGAAGGGCACCACCAGGCGUGGAGCCUGCGGCUUAAUUUGACUCAACACGGGGAAACUUACCAGGGUCCAGACAUAGUAAGGAUUGACAGAUUGAGAGCUCUUUCU